This 1056-nucleotide ribosomal RNA is filed under the name Triticum aestivum (bread wheat). RNAcentral's name for it is "partial small subunit ribosomal RNA". The record is from RNAcentral. Lineage: Eukaryota; Viridiplantae; Streptophyta; Magnoliopsida; Poales; Poaceae.
AUGGACGCUGGAAUGAGACAAUCGAGGGUCCGGUUUUCUGGUGUAGGGCAGGAAGAUCAGGGCAGCGGCCAGGCUAUGGCAAUGCCACCACAGCGACAGCGAGGCACGCCUUUUGGAAGAGGUGAAGAAUAUGACGCCGCGUACGCAGCGACGGUGGCGGCAGUGGCGUAUGCCAUUGCUGCAAUGGAGGAAGAGAAGUUACCACCACAGCAGAAGCCUAUCCCAGAGAAAACAGCAUCUCGGCAGAAGCGUGUAACAGUUCAUGAGCCCACAGCCGCCCCGCCGCCGAGAUCACCACCCAGGAGAGGUGGAAGCAUGAAAAGGCCAACUGAAGGAAGCAAAAUCUCAAGAUUGUUUAGUGGUAACAAAGAAAUCGUUGAAGUUGGCGACGAAGACGAACAAGGAGCGAAUGUUUCGGUGAGGAGGCCGGUGAAACCGACGCCAAAGAAGCCAGGAGGUCCAACUCCAGGCCAGAACGUGGUAGGGAAGGUGGCCGACUCCAUCCCGAACCUGAAGGACGAUCCAAGUUUCGCGAGGAAAACACCAGACAAGAAGAGAAGCAGAAACUUUGAGCAGGAGGAAGCAAAUUGGAAGGCGAAGCCCGAGGUUAACCCGACGACCUCGUUUCCAGAAGAGCGGAAACGGAGCUGGAAGCACGAGCAGGAACCGGCGAAUCAGAGGGCGCCACCGGCAGCCAGGCCUCCAGGAAUGGUUUAUUCCAGCGAGGCGGAGAGGAUGGCGGCAGCGUGGGAGAAGGAGGAGCUGGCGAAGAUCAAGGAGCGGUACAACGAGACGAUGGAAACCAUAGCCGAAUGGGAGACUGAGAAGAAGGCCAAGGCCAGGCGCCAGAAGGAGCCCAAAGAGGGUGAUUCAGAGAGGAAGCGAGCAAAGGCGCUGGAGGAGUACAACGAUGAGAUGAAGCGGAUCAGCAAGGUGGCCGCUGCAUCGAGGAUGUCGGCAGAGGACAAGAAAAGGAACGCCGAGGGCAAAGUCUGGGAGAAGGCGGCCAAAAUCCGGUCAACGGGGAAGCUCCCUCGGUCCUGUGGCUGCUUCUGA